RNAcentral lists this ribosomal RNA (577 nucleotides) under Penicillium sp. TPS23. RNAcentral describes it as "eukaryotic LSU rRNA". The stretch from base 235 to 388 matches the Rfam family "5.8S ribosomal RNA". Lineage: Eukaryota; Fungi; Ascomycota; Eurotiomycetes; Eurotiales; Aspergillaceae. The record is from RNAcentral.
UGGAAGUAAAAAUCGUAACAAGGUUUCCGUAGGUGAACCUGCGGAAGGAUCAUUACCGAGUGCGGGCCCUCGCGGCCCAACCUCCCACCCUUGUCUCCUAUACACCUGUUGCUUUGGCGGGCCCACCGGGGCCACCUGGUCGCCGGGGGACGCACGUCCCCGGGCCCGCGCCCGCCGAAGCGCGCUGUGAACCCUGAUGAAGAUGGGCUGUCUGAGUACUAUGAAAAUUGUCAAAACUUUCAACAAUGGAUCUCUUGGUUCCGGCAUCGAUGAAGAACGCAGCGAAAUGCGAUAAGUAAUGUGAAUUGCAGAAUUCCGUGAAUCAUCGAAUCUUUGAACGCACAUUGCGCCCCCUGGCAUUCCGGGGGGCAUGCCUGUCCGAGCGUCAUUUCUGCCCUCAAGCACGGCUUGUGUGUUGGGUGUGGUCCCCCCGGGGACCUGCCCGAAAGGCAGCGGCGACGUCCGUCUGGUCCUCGAGCGUAUGGGGCUCUGUCACUCGCUCGGGAAGGACCUGCGGGGGUUGGUCACCACCACAUUUACCACGGUGACCUCGGAUCAGGUAGGAUUACCCAAUUCG